Molecule: ribosomal RNA, 253 nt
Filed under: uncultured bacterium
Lineage: Bacteria
Description: partial 16S ribosomal RNA
Rfam family: Bacterial small subunit ribosomal RNA
Source: RNAcentral
UACAGAGGGUGCGAGCGUUAAUCGGAAUUACCGGGCGUAAAGCGUGCGCAGGCGGCGCGUUAAGACAGGUGUGAAAGCCCCGAGCUUAACUUGGGAAUUGCGCUUGUGACUGGCGGGCUGGAGUGUGGCAGAGGGAGGUGGAAUUCCACGUGUAGCAGUGAAAUGCGUAGAGAUGUGGAGGAACACCGAUGGCGAAGGCAGCCUCCUGGGCCAGCACUGACGCUCAUGCACGAAAGCGUGGGGAGCAAACAGG